GGGGAUUUAGCUCAGUGGUAGAGAGCGCUUGCCUAGCAAGCACAAGGCCCUGAGUUCAGUCCCCA
This 65-nucleotide transfer RNA is filed under the name Rattus norvegicus (Norway rat). It matches the Rfam family "tRNA". From Rfam's summary of the family: Transfer RNA (tRNA) molecules are approximately 80 nucleotides in length. Their secondary structure includes four short double-helical elements and three loops (D, anti-codon, and T loops). The record is from Rfam by way of RNAcentral. Lineage: Eukaryota; Metazoa; Chordata; Mammalia; Rodentia; Muridae.